GCGAAAGUGGCGGAAUUGGCAUACGCGCUAGAUUUAGGAUCUAGUCCCGGGAAACGGGUUGGGGGUUCGACUCCCCCCUUUCGCA
Molecule: transfer RNA, 85 nt
Filed under: bacterium
Lineage: Bacteria
Description: tRNA-Leu
Rfam family: tRNA
About the family: Transfer RNA (tRNA) molecules are approximately 80 nucleotides in length. Their secondary structure includes four short double-helical elements and three loops (D, anti-codon, and T loops).
Source: RNAcentral